RNAcentral lists this non-coding RNA (2024 nucleotides) under Pongo abelii (Sumatran orangutan). The record is from RNAcentral. Lineage: Eukaryota; Metazoa; Chordata; Mammalia; Primates; Hominidae.
GAGGCUGGUGAGCCAGGCAGAAGUCAGAGCAGGAGGAGCCUUGAGGUCUCUCCAGGAGAUUCAGGGACCAUAGGAUUUGGUAGUGAUUCAGCUGUAGAGUGAAAAGAUGACAGUGGCCAUAUCCAGGGUAAUGUCUACGGGAAUUUGUGAAUAUCCAGAUAUCCAGAUAAGAGAGGAUGAUGGCCCUAACUCGAGUACCAAAAUUGGAUUUCCUUAGUGUCUGGCUGGGGUGUCCUGUAGAGAGAAAUGCUGUCUUCUGGGACCACAGCCUUGAGCUUGGGGGUCCCUGCCAGCAUCCAGGCGCCCAGGAGAAAAUCCUGACAAACAGGAGUCACGAUCAGGAGACAUGUCUGCUAUCUGGGUAAGUGAUGGUGUGUGUGGUACACGUAACCAGGGAACUCCAGUGGCACUGUGCAUCACAGGAGUAACUAAGGUGGAUUUGCAGAGAAGACGGCCAGAGAAAAUGAAGUGUCCUAUGAUGUCCUACCCCUUAGAGGCACCACAAGCAUCCAGAAGUCAAGGGAACCCUCAUUAUGCUCGAGCAGGGGGACUCUGCCCGUCUCCACAGAGGAGACAGUAUGGGUGUAAGCAGGCCAUGGACGAUCCAGUCUUCUGAUACACAGGAUAAUGUGCCUUGAACCUGAGUCCAUGUCGACUGUGGUAGAUGCGGGUGUCCAGGUACGCCAAGUGGCAUCCCGGAAAACACCUGUCAGAUGCAUUUCUUCUGCUGCUGCUAGUCAUGAGAUCAAGAUUCCUGCCAUGACAUCACAGUGAAUCCAACAUGGGUCCCUAUCAGGAAGCAGGGCUGCUCUGCAAGUCAAGGCUGCAUGAGGACCCAAAGCAACACAUGGGCCACUUGAAGUUCAGGUGUAUAGGUUUUCCAGGGUCCCACAAGGAAAUCCCGAUAAACAGGAGUCAGGAUCAGGGAACAUGUCUGCUAUCUGGAUUCAGGCAGGCAGAAGUCAGAGCAUGAGGACAGCAUUGAGGUCUCUCCAGGCGAUUUAUGGACUCUCGGAUUUGGUAGUGAUUCAGUAUUAUUUUCUUUUUUUGAGAGUCUGGCUGAGGUAUUGCUGAUGCACGCAUAAACCACAGCACGCACCGUGGGACUGUCCCAGGGACCUGGUUCACUGAUGAGAUGUCCCCACAUGUCUUCCCGCCGUGAUUUCUUUCACAGAUGACCAGAAUGGAUCCUAUAGUAUAAUCACACAGGAUAAUGUUGGAAAAUAUGAACUGUAACCUGGCAGAUCUGACUGUUGUUGCUGCAGCUUCUGUUCCUGCUGAUGCUGUUCAAAAUAGUCCUCUUUUAUUUUCUUCGGCUGUUCUGAAGCAGGAGUUACACAUGAUGUCUUUGGAAGAUCUUGCGAUGUGUUUCCAGAACUACCUUGCAUGCUUAGCUCAAUAGCCCUGCGGAGGUCUUCAUCUUCUCUAUUGGUUUCUUGGCGGCUUAGUUCAAGGGUCCUCUGAAAAUCCUCGUCAUCUUGGUCUGAUGUUCCAGACUCAUCACUUUCUUCUGACACUUUUUCAAGGACUGUUUUAUAGACUCUGUGCUCUUUUUCUUUUACUGAUUUUUUUCCAUUAAGUUUUGGUGUAUCCAUCUCUUCGACACUGAUGAUCUGCAGGAGUUGGUCAGCUUCACAGUCUGGCAGAUCACCCUUGACAACAAAUACAGAAUAUGCUUGUUGUUGUAAUCGAGCCAAGAAAUUUGCAAGGAUCAAUGCCGAGCUUCUGAUAUUCAGGAUUAUUGAAAUGGAUGAUCUCUAAACCCCAGAACUUCAAGGCAUUGCUUAUUACCUGAAUGGAGAAGAAACCGGUAUCAUCCAUGUUUUCUGAAGGCUGCUGUAAAAAUGCGAGAUACUCUUCACUGGUGACUCCUCCUUCUGCCAUUCUCAUCCUCUCUUCUUCAUCUAGCUGAUGUGCAAUUGAGGCUAAUUCCACAGGGCUAAAAUAUUCUCCUUGCAAUAGAUUGUUCAGACAGUGCUGAGCACACAAGAAACCUUCCUGUUUCUCAUGAAAGAUGAAAUCCA